Molecule: ribosomal RNA, 459 nt
Filed under: uncultured bacterium
Lineage: Bacteria
Description: partial 16S ribosomal RNA
Rfam family: Bacterial small subunit ribosomal RNA
Source: RNAcentral
CCUACGGGAGGCAGCAGUGAGGAAUAUUGGUCAAUGGCCGGAAGGCUGAACCAGCCAUGCCGCGUGAAGGUCAGUGCCCUAUGGGCGUUAAACUUCUUUUGUGCGGGAGCAAUAAUGGUCACGUGUGGCCAGACGAGAGUACCGUACGAAUAAGCAUCGGCUAACUCCGUGCCAGCAGCCGCGGUAAUACGGGGGAUGCAAGCGUUAUCCGGAUUUACUGGGUGUAAAGGGAGCGUAGACGGUGCAGCAAGUCUGAUGUGAAAGGUCGGGGCCCAACCCCGGGACUGCAUUGGAAACUGUGUAACUGGAGUACAGGAGGGGCAGGCGGAAUUCCUGGUGUAGCGGUGAAAUGCGUAGAUAUCAGGAGGAACACCGGCGGCGAAGGCGGCCUGCUGGACUGAAACUGACGUUGAGGCUCGAAAGCGUGGGGAGCAAACAGGAUUAGAUACCCUGGUAGUC